UGGGGAAUUUUGGACAAUGGGCGAAAGCCUGAUCCAGCAAUGCCGCGUGUGUGAAGAAGGCCUUCGGGUUGUAAAGCACUUUUGUCCGGAAAGAAAUCCUUGGCUCUAAUACAGUCGGGGGAUGACGGUACCGGAAGAAUAAGCACCGGCUAACUACGUGCCAGCAGCCGCGGUAAUACGUAGGGUGCAAGCGUUAAUCGGAAUUACUGGGCGUAAAGCGUGCGCAGGCGGUUUGCUAAGACCGACGUGAAAUCCCCGGGCUCAACCUGGGAACUGCAUUGGUGACUGGCAGGCUAGAGUAUGGCAGAGGGGGGUAGAAUUCCACGUGUAGCAGUGAAAUGCGUAGAGAUGUGGAGGAAUACCGAUGGCGAAGGCAGCCCCCUGGGCCAAUACUGACGCUCAUGCACGAAAGCGUGGGGAGCAAACAGGAUUAGAUACCCUGGUAGUCCACGCCCUAAACGAUGUCAACUAGUUGUGGGAUUCAUUCCUUAGUAACGUAGCUAACGCGUGAAGUUGACCGCCUGGGGAGUACGGUCGCAAGAUUAAAACUCAAAGGAAUUGAC
RNAcentral lists this ribosomal RNA (563 nucleotides) under uncultured bacterium. RNAcentral's name for it is "partial 16S ribosomal RNA". It matches the Rfam family "Bacterial small subunit ribosomal RNA", at positions 355 to 914 of the family's 1533-position model. The record is from RNAcentral.